GGUUAAGCGACUAAGCGUACACGGUGGAUGCCCUGGCAGUCAGAGGCGAUGAAGGACGUGCUAAUCUGCGAAAAGCGUCGGUAAGGUGAUAUGAACCGUUAU
RNAcentral lists this ribosomal RNA (102 nucleotides) under Klebsiella pneumoniae. RNAcentral describes it as "partial 23S ribosomal RNA". It matches the Rfam family "Bacterial large subunit ribosomal RNA", at positions 1 to 102 of the family's 2925-position model. The record is from RNAcentral. Lineage: Bacteria; Pseudomonadati; Pseudomonadota; Gammaproteobacteria; Enterobacterales; Enterobacteriaceae. RNAcentral also lists the same sequence under 1 other name.